This is a long non-coding RNA of Erpetoichthys calabaricus (reedfish), 1910 nucleotides long. RefSeq lists it as uncharacterized. The transcript is spliced from 6 exons. The record is from RefSeq and is a predicted model, not a curated record. Lineage: Eukaryota; Metazoa; Chordata; Cladistia; Polypteriformes; Polypteridae.
CUCUUUCCUCUUGUGAGCGAAGUGUGCUACCUCGUGGUAACACUGUGGUCUAGCUGAAAUAAUGAAAUGCACUAAUAUGCUGUCACCUAGCAGCCUAUACAGCUGCCAACCUACUAGUGAAAGUAUGCUGCAUAAUAGGAUGAGCCGUUGACACUGUGGAAGCUGUUGUGGAAAAGAGGGUGGUGAUGAAAUUGAAUGCCAUUAUGAAAAAUCCCCUCCAGGAAGUGCUUUCUUGGAGUAUUUUUAGCCACAGGCUCAUUGCACUACGAUGUGUUAAGUAUCACCUUUGGAGGUCUUUUCUGCCCACUGCUAUCAGGCAAUUCAGUGCUUCCUCAAAAUUGGCUUACCUCUGUUAAUGAGAUGUGACCAUCGGCUAUCAUCUAGUACCCAAUACAAGCACCCACCAAGCCAUCUUCCAAUUAUUUUGCACUCAACUGUACUGAACAAUGCUAGUGAUUUCCCAGUAAGCAUACUACAAACUUUUAUGAGUUAACUGUUGAUGUGGAAUUUAUAUGAAAAUGAAGUACUGGUAAUUUGGAAACAACAAAUCUUGUACCCCAUGGAAACUUGACCUGCAACAUGAUAAAGGUCUCCUAUAAUCAAAGAUUUCCUCUGAAAUUUCCAUAUUGUCCAAGUUACUAAGACUGUAUUUGGACUUGCCCAGGCCUAUUAUGACUGAAAAAUUUGUCCCUUCAAACUGAUGUGUGAAGGCCGUAUCAGGUGCUGCUUAACACAGUGUUGUAAGUUUUGUUUUAAAAAAAAAAAAAACGUUUAUAUUCUAGUUUCUGAUAAUGAAGAGUGUUGAAUGGGUUCAUUUUUAAUGCUAAAAAUUGUGGUUAGUAUUUUACAAAAAAUUUAAGCCAAAUUGUGCAUUUAAUUGUAUGUUAAUGUAGUGUUUGUGUGUGCAAACCUACCCAACCAGCUAGUAAAAUUGCUUAAGGGUAUACAUAAAUCACUAUAGCCAACAUACCAGCUGGCUAAGUGCUCUUGCUGUGAUAAAAAAAUCCUGUUUGAUGAAUUGAAUCAAAAAUUAAGGAUGCUGAAGUCUCGGUUUCUGAAUAUAUAUGUUUAGUCAUUCUUUCCUCUUUAUUACCAUUUUAACCCUUUGCGGUCGUUAGGCCAGAAAACUGGCCUUAGUAAAAAGUGUGCUAUAGGUCGUCAGGCCACCGCUGGUGGCCCUGCAAGUUUCUGACCGAUUUGCACAGUCGCCUGGUCGAGAAAAGUGGCCUGUGUUAUUCCUACGUGCUUGAAAAAAAUAACUGCUGUAAUUAUUGGCGUUUUUUCAAUAAUUAAUUACGACUAAUGUAGCGUGACAUUGAAAAUUAAAUACGACUGCAAAGGGUUAAUGUUGCAAUAUUAAUUUAUUUUCUCAUAGUGGACAAAAUGUUGGGUAGUGGUAAUGUUAUUUAUCUAUGAUGCUGGGUAUAUUGGGAGAAGGAUGCUAAGGGUAGAGCUGUCAGGGAAGAGGAAAAGAGGAUGGCCUAAGCGAAGGUUUAUGGAUGUGGUGAGAAAGGACAUGCAGAUGAUGGGUGUAACAGAACAAGGACAUGCAGAGGACAGAAAGAUAUGGAAGUUGGUGAUCUGCCGUGGCAACCCCUAACGAGAGCAGCUGAAAGAAGAUUUAUGGGACAGUCUGUACUGCAUUUAAGGGCUUCCCUUAUUUUUUUCCCCCACUCCUUCAGUGGGUUUUUUUUUUUUGUUGUUUUUUAAUCUGCAUUCACUGCCUGAAAAAAAUAUAAAUGUAAUCCUCAAUAAUUGUUUCAAAACUACGUGUUGUAAAAAUGCAUUAUUGCCAUUGAUGGAUGUUUGUUACUUUAUAAAGUCUGAAAUCCCUUUAUUUGGUAAAAAGACAACUUAAAGUUGUGUGCGUUUUUUUUUUUUUUUGUUUUUUUUUAAUUUUAUGAUGUAAG